This 275-nucleotide long non-coding RNA is filed under the name Lathyrus oleraceus (garden pea). RNAcentral describes it as "Pisum sativum (pea) long non-coding RNA (PSAT_LNC000390)". Lineage: Eukaryota; Viridiplantae; Streptophyta; Magnoliopsida; Fabales; Fabaceae. The record is from RNAcentral.
UGCGUUUCUUUUGAAAAAUAAAUAUGCUAUGAUGCACAUGAUGCAGACAUGGCUGGCUGGUUGUGCAGAUUCUGAUACUAGGUCGAAGCUUCAGUCAAAACUCGGAACUUAAAUCCAACUUAAGGUCAACCGAAAACUGUUGUCUGAACUAGAGUCACCAACAGAACCGAGUCACCAACGGUACCUGUAAUAAUGAAUAACCCUUCCCCACUCACGGGUGUAAUCUAGGCCAGGGUAAAGCUUGAGAGAAACGCAGCAUAAAUAACCUUUCGCAG